GAUGAAGAACGUAGCGAAAUGCGAUAAGUAGUGUGAAUUGCAGAAUUCAGUGAAUCAUCGAAUCUUUGAACGCACAUUGCGCCCUUGGGUAUUCCAAAGGGCAUGCCUGUUCGAGCGUCAUUUGUACCCUCAAGCUUUGCUUGGUGUUGGGCGUCUUGUCUCUAGCUUUGCUGGAGACUCGCCUUAAAGUAAUUGGCAGCCGGCCUACUGGUUUCGGAGCGCAGCACAAGUCGCACUCUCUAUCAGCAAAGGUCUAGCAUCCAUUAAGCCUUUUUUUCAACUUUUGACCUCGGAUCAGGUAGGGAUACCCGCUGAACUUAAGCAUAUCAAUAAGCGGAGGA
This 341-nucleotide unclassified non-coding RNA is filed under the name soil metagenome. Its description in RNAcentral is "partial contains 5.8S ribosomal RNA, internal transcribed spacer 2, and large subunit ribosomal RNA". The stretch from base 1 to 120 matches the Rfam family "5.8S ribosomal RNA", at positions 35 to 154 of the family's 154-position model. The record is from RNAcentral.